CCUACUCGUGGAAGGUGGAGCAGUCCGUCUUACAGUGGUUGAUACAGUAGACAAAAUCAAUCGAGGUUCGGAACAGGGGAUGAAAGAGGCCUCUGUGAAGCAGGAACGAGAAGUAAUCGCCUUGUAGAGCGGGGCGGUGAAUCGGUC
RNAcentral lists this non-coding RNA (147 nucleotides) under Lysinibacillus odysseyi 34hs-1 = NBRC 100172. RNAcentral describes it as "Bacterial small subunit ribosomal RNA". It matches the Rfam family "Bacterial small subunit ribosomal RNA", at positions 925 to 1373 of the family's 1533-position model. Lineage: Bacteria; Bacillati; Bacillota; Bacilli; Caryophanales; Bacillaceae. The record is from Rfam by way of RNAcentral.